This 263-nucleotide unclassified non-coding RNA is filed under the name Hevea brasiliensis (rubber tree). Lineage: Eukaryota; Viridiplantae; Streptophyta; Magnoliopsida; Malpighiales; Euphorbiaceae. The record is from RNAcentral.
UUCAGUUUAGUAAGGUUCAUGAUAUUCACCUUGCAGAUGCUUGUAAAAUAACUCCGGCAAAGUUUUCCGGUUCCAAAGAAGUAGUGCCGCUGCAUUUUCGUAAACAGUUGGAAGGUUCUUCAUCCUUGGGGGACAGAGAAGAGAUUUACUUUGAUUUUAGAAAGCAGCGCUUCAUCUAUUCAAAAGAGGAGGAGACAUUUUGCAAGCUUCCUUACCCUACCAAGGAAACGUUUGGCAACUAUCUUAAAAUUACUGGUCAUGGC